RNAcentral lists this unclassified non-coding RNA (22 nucleotides) under Mus musculus (house mouse). RNAcentral's name for it is "oocyte_clustered_small_RNA8644". Lineage: Eukaryota; Metazoa; Chordata; Mammalia; Rodentia; Muridae. The record is from RNAcentral.
UGAGGCCGAGGAGUGGUUUGAG